Molecule: non-coding RNA, 243 nt
Filed under: Bacillus atrophaeus
Lineage: Bacteria; Bacillati; Bacillota; Bacilli; Caryophanales; Bacillaceae
Description: T-box sequence
Rfam family: T-box leader
About the family: Uncharged tRNA acts as the effector for transcription antitermination of genes in the T-box leader family.
Source: RNAcentral
AUAAAAGCGAUGAAGAGAAGAGUAAAUACAUUAAUUCUUUACAGAGAGCUCCGGAAGCUGGAAAGGAGCAUGAGUGAAUGUAUUGAACCAAGCCUCUCAGCUUCACAUCGGAAUCCUUACAAGGAAGAUGGUGUGACAGGUACUCCUGUUAUCGAGAAGGGUAAUCUUAGUUACCUGCUAAGGUUUGUAUGGUGACAUAUAAACAAACUGAGGUGGCACCACGGGAAAAAUCUCGUCCUCAAG